AGUGAACGCUGGCGGUAGGCCUAACACAUGCAAGUCGAGCGGUAGCACAGUAAGGCUUUCCUCUUACGUGAGGCGCGUCGCGGGCGUGUGUGGUAUACAGCGGACUCUCUUUUUUCGUGGGGUAUCUCGUGGGGACACUUGCUCUUACAGCGUAUCCUCCCUACGGCAUAAAGCAGGGGCUCUUCGCCUCUUGCCCUCUUGUAUGCGCAGAUGUCGGUAGCUAGUGGGUGGGGUAAUGGCUCACCAAGGCGACGAUCCGUAGCUGGUCUGAGAGGAUGACCAGCCACACUGGAACUGAGACACGGUCCAGACUCCUACGGGAGGCAGCAGUGGGGAAUAUUGGACAAUGGGCGCAAGCCUGAUGCAGCCAUGCCGCGUGUGUGAAGAAGGCCUUCGGGUUGUAAAGCACUUUUGGUGGGGAAGAAGAGCAGGAGGUUAAUACGCUGAUGAAUUGACGGUACCCAAAGAAGAAGCACCGGCUAACUUCGUG
Molecule: ribosomal RNA, 490 nt
Filed under: uncultured bacterium
Lineage: Bacteria
Description: partial 16S ribosomal RNA
Rfam family: Bacterial small subunit ribosomal RNA
Source: RNAcentral